UAAAGAAUAAUGUACUGGUUUGUUAAGUGUGAUUUUAUUAUUUUAAUAAAAAUAUUUUUAUGAUUAGUGGUUUAAGUAUUGUAUAAAGAAAGAAUUUUUAAUGUGGUAGUGUAUUAGUAUUGUGAGAGAAAAUUGAAAUAGUUUGAAAGAUGAAAUUUUAUGAAAGUAAAUUUAUUUUAUUGUACCUUGUGUAUCAGGGUUGAUUAAAUUUUUCUUAGAGAUUUAAGUUUCCCGAUUUGGAGAGAGCUAAUUUAAAUUGUUAGUUAAUGUAGCAUAAUUAUUAAUAAAUUUAAAUUAGGAAUUAAACGUUAUUCGUUCUUCAAGAUAUCUGGUUUUUUGAGAAAUGAAUUUAAUUCAGUUGCUUUAGAUUUUGUGGGUCAUAUUUGAGUGGUUCUGUAAAUUUAAAGGAGUAAUGGUGUGAAGGAUAAGCUUUAUAUCAUGGGUUAUAAGAGGUAAGUUCGUAUUUAAAAUAGUAGGUUUAGAAUUAGCCAUCAUUUAAAGGGUGUUAUAACUUAUUUUUAAGGGAUUUUAUUUUUGUAAUUUUUAAUGAUUUAUCAAAAUUUUAAUUUUAAUGAUAGGUAUUAGGAGAUAAUGAUUGAAUUAGUAUGUUAUAAAUUGUUGUGUGUGAUUUAUUUAGUAAGGUUACUAUAAGGAACUAGGCAAACAAGCGCUCGCCUGUUUAACAAAAACAUGUCCUCUUGGUUAAGAUAUGAGGUCUGACCUGCCCACUGAAUUGAUUUGAAGGGCCGCGGUAUUUUGACCGUGCAAAGGUAGCAUAAUCAUUAGUCUUUUAAUUGAAGGCUAGAAUGAAUGGUUGGACGAGGUGCUGGCUGUCUCGUAGUAAUUGAUGACGGAAUUUAACUUUUAAGUCAAAAGGCUUAAAUGAAAUUAAAGGACGAGAAGACCCUAUAGAGCUUUAUAUUACUUAGUUUAUUGAAUAUGUAGUUGUUUUGUUUUAGUAGGUUGAUUAAUAUUUUAUUGGGGUGAUAGGAAGAUAAAAUAAACUCUUUUUGUGAUUGUAGCCAUUAAUGUAUGAAUUUAUGAUCCGUUAAUAACGAUUAUAAGAUUAAGUUACCUUAGGGAUAACAGCGUAAUCCUUUUUGAGAGUUCUUAUCGACAAAGGGGGUUGCGACCUCGAUGUUGGAUUAAGGUUAAUUUUGGGUGCAGAUGUUCAAAGUUUAGGUCUGUUCGACCUUUAAAUCCUUACAUGAUCUGAGUUCAGACCGGCGUAAGCCAGGUCGGUUUCUAUCCUUAAUAGGGUAGGGUGUUUUAGUACGAAAGGACCAAGCACCUAAAUUAAAUUUUAGUUUAAGAUGUAAAUUAAAAG
RNAcentral lists this ribosomal RNA (1327 nucleotides) under Perlesta teaysia. Its description in RNAcentral is "16S ribosomal RNA". The stretch from base 602 to 1327 matches the Rfam family "Archaeal large subunit ribosomal RNA", at positions 1423 to 2844 of the family's 2987-position model. The record is from RNAcentral. Lineage: Eukaryota; Metazoa; Arthropoda; Insecta; Plecoptera; Perlidae.